Molecule: long non-coding RNA, 800 nt
Organism: Choloepus didactylus (southern two-toed sloth)
Lineage: Eukaryota; Metazoa; Chordata; Mammalia; Pilosa; Megalonychidae
Exons: 6
Source: RefSeq, a predicted model, not a curated record
GCCAGAUGGUAAGCAGGUAGACAAAUCAUCAAUCAGAUGGUCACAAGAUCGAAAAUAAUGCCACAUUUUUCAUUUUUGCAAAAAUAAGCAGGUCUGUAUUUUCUUCAAUCCUAUUGAGUAGGCAGGUGUUACUCAGAGGAUCAUGCUCAUCAUCAACAAGCAUUUGGUACUAGACAAGAGUAAAUGUUUGACGGCAUAUCUCGUUUAAUCAUCACAUCAACCCUGUAAGGCGGCUACUGCUGACUCCAUUAGGCAGAUGGCUCAGAAGUUGAAAAGAUUUGCCCAAGUUUAAAAAGUGGAAUCAAACCAGGACUAUGGACUACGUGUUGAAACUUCCAAUGUUUGAAGAUCUCCUUCUUUGCCCUUUGAACCAGGGAAUUUCUACUCAUCAUAUGAAAUUCAACUCCAAUGGCAGAACCUCUGAAACUUUUAUCAACCUAAGAAAGUUAUUAACCCGUCUGAAUUCUAUUUUAGAAGUUUCAUCCAGAGCAACAUUCUUUUCCUCAAAAUCUUCCAAUGGGCUCCAAUUAUAAGAAGAAUAAAAUGCAAAUUUCAUGCUAUGAAUGGAUACAGAACCUAGUUUCUUCUCCCGUCUUCUACCCAUUGAAGCCACACUGGCCUACAUGUUGUUCCUGUAUGUGCCAAGCAUUUUCUGGAGUCAGGGUUUGCAUCAGCUUUGUCCUCCACUGGGAAUGCUCUUCAUUCGGAUAACCAUUUGGCAUGCUCCCCUUCAUCAGAUUUGUUCUCAAAUGUCACUUCCUCAGAAAGGCCUUCCCUGACUUCUCUACUGUCAAACUCUA